RNAcentral lists this ribosomal RNA (497 nucleotides) under uncultured bacterium. RNAcentral's name for it is "partial 16S ribosomal RNA". It matches the Rfam family "Bacterial small subunit ribosomal RNA", at positions 28 to 507 of the family's 1533-position model. The record is from RNAcentral.
GAUGAACGCUGGCGGCGUGCUUAAUACAUGCAAGUCGAGCGAACGGACGAGAAUCUUGCGGCUCUGAUGUUAGCGGCGGACGGGUGAGACACACGUGGAUAACCUACCUAUUAGACUUGGAUAACUUCGGGAAACCGGAGCUAAGACCAGAUAAUACUUUUGACCGCAUGGUUCUAAAGUGAAAGACGGUCUUGCUGUCACUUAUAGAUGGAUCCGCGCUGCAUUAGCUAGUUGGUAAGGUAACGGCUUACCAAGGCAACGAUGCAUAGCCGACCUGAGCGGGUGAUCGGCGACUCUGAGGCUGAGACACGAUCCAGACUCCUACGGGAGGCAGCAGUAGCGACUCUUCCGAAAUGGGCGAAAGCCUGCCGGAGCAACGCCGCGUGAGUGAUGAAGGUCUUCGGAUCGUAAAACGCUGUUAUGAGGGAAGACCAUAUGUGUAAGUAACUGUGCACAGCUUGACGGUACCUAAUCAGAAAGCAACGGCUAACUACGUG